AGAACGAACGCUGGCGGCGGGGUUUAGGCAUGCAAGUUGAGCGAGAAAGCCGCAAGGUGAGUACAGCAGCGUAAGGGUGAGUAAUAGGUAGUUCACGUACCCAGCAGACGCGAAUAAUUCUCCGAAAGGGGCUGUAAUGCGCGAUGAGACCACGUGCUUUUCGAAGCGUGAGGUCAAAGGUCGGGGAUCCUUCGGGACCCGGCGCUGUUGGAGCGGACGACCUCCGAUUAGCUAGUUGGCGGGGUAACGGCCCACCAAGGCGAUGAUCGGUA
This 272-nucleotide ribosomal RNA is filed under the name uncultured bacterium. Its description in RNAcentral is "partial small subunit ribosomal RNA". It matches the Rfam family "Bacterial small subunit ribosomal RNA", at positions 26 to 285 of the family's 1533-position model. The record is from RNAcentral.